RNAcentral lists this long non-coding RNA (240 nucleotides) under Nicotiana benthamiana. RNAcentral describes it as "long non-coding RNA (NBEN_LNC031505)". The record is from RNAcentral. Lineage: Eukaryota; Viridiplantae; Streptophyta; Magnoliopsida; Solanales; Solanaceae.
CCUUCUCACCCCGUUAAUGUAUUAAAAUGUGGAACGGUCUCGUUUGCUUAUUACAUUCUAUUACCCGCCCCACGUAGUUAGCAUGACUUACAUGUACUGUUUAGGGCCUGAUUAAACUUAAGCGUUGAAGCAGACUACUUUGUUACAUACUUUAGAUAAGAAGCCCGAAUCAGGCAUGUAUGCUGGUUGUAAUUAAUAAAUUCUGAUUCAGUUUGUAAACUAUCCUAUGGCUUGCCUAAG